CUGAAGUUAGGGUAAUAUUUUCAGUGAUUUUAAUUGAGCCUUUUCUUGAAACAAUUGUCAAGGACCCAUCAGUUAUCUCAACCCUUAGAUUAUCAUAACAAGGAGUGAAUGAAAAAAACCAAUUGAAAUUACUUGUCAUAUGGUUCGAAGCACUAGAAUCUAUGAUCCAAGGUGUUUUUAAAUUUUUUGUGACACUAACAACUGUUGAGAAAUUACCUAUUUGAGCAAGAUUUCAAGAUCCGAAAUUGGUGUUGGGUUGUUGUGAUUGAUUCAGAAGUCUAUACAGCAAGUCCAUUUGUUCUUUGCUAAGUGAUAUUUGAGUGGUUGCAGAUUCUGCCCUUUUAAAGGUUGUUCUUGCAUCUACUGCAACUUGAAAGCCCCUUCCAACACUCUGUCUAGGCCUCUCAUUCGCAGGUUUUUCGUGCAACAACCAACAUUUGUCUUUGGUGUGGCUGAGUUUGCUAUAUGAUCACAAUGCACUCUUUUUCUAGUUCACUGUUUUCCAUGGUAUCCAUUCUCACCCACUUUUAAAGCCAGGGCAGAGCCUUCCAUCGGGGUAUUUUUGAAUCAUUCUCUUCUCCCAACUUCACCUUUCUUCGACUCUCUUCCCUUCUGACUUCAGCAAACACUUCAUCAAGAGGCGACAUCAGUUCCUUUCCAAGAAUCCUUCAUCCACCUCAUCUAGGUCUUCAUUAGGACCAGCCAAAAAAUCAAACAUUCUUUCCUUCUCUAUUGACCUUCUUUGUUUUUCAGUACACUCAAGGCAACAAUUAGCCUCUAUAAAUAAAUCUAACUCUUGCCAUAAAGCUUGAAGAUCAGUGUAAUAUUGAGUUACACAAUGAUUACCUUGUUUGAUUUCCUUCAAUUUGCACCUAAUUUCAAAAACUUGGGCUGAGUUUCUGAGAUAUGAAUAAGUCCUCUUUACUACAUCCCACACUUCCUUUGUUGAAGGCAGAAGUAGGUACAUUUGACCAAUCUUAAGCUCCAUUGAAUUAAUCAAUCAUGCAAUAACAAUGGAAUCUUCUAAGUCCCAAUUUUAAAAGGUUGGAUCAUCUUCAGGAAGUUUCUUUGUGGCUCCUGUCAAGUGCCCUAAUUUUCCUCUUCCUUUAAUCAACCAUUACAACCAAUUUUUUCCAUUCAAUUUCCAUCCAGGAAAUUGUAGAAAGGUAUUGUCUACUUUGUAUAACAAGGAAGCAGACGUAGUUUGAAACAUCUAUUGUAUAGGACCUAAAGUAGUCAUUGAAGACUCAUUUCCACGACAUCCUCCGGCCAUGGAAGUCUUUGCCAUGAGAUUGAAUUAGGCCCAGAUGUGCUGCGACUUUGAUACCAUGAAAUCAGAGAGGAAAAAUGUAACUCUUUGUCAUAUUUGAUUGAGAUUGCAAGCCUUAAAUAUAUAGGCAAUCUAUUUAGGAAGAUAAUUACCAAAAAUAAAAUAUUCCUAAGAACUAAGAACCUAAGAAACAGAAAGCUAAAAACUAAGGGGGUAAAUAUCUUUAUUUGAAAAAAAAAAAAAGUACUCUAAUAAAAUAAUUUGAUAAUUAGCUAGAGCUUAUCCAAAGUUCUCUCCAACCACCAACAUAAUUUGCCUUCACCAAAUGAACCUUGAUAUUCUCGGGCAUAGCAUACCAAUCCAGGUAAUCUACCAUAAACAAAAGCCAAUCAAGAAAAUCCAUAGAAUUCAAUUUUCCCAAAAUUCAGCAACUUCAAUGCAUACCUUUUAUGUCACAUCAUGAUUUUUCUCAAAGUUUGUCUCACAUACUCUAUUGGGAUUUUGGUCCAAGUGUGCUAGCUCCCACCAUCUUUUUCAAUAGAUUACUUUUCUUGAUUUCUUUCUAAUAAUCGCACUAUCUCAUUUAGCCUAUUGUUAGUUCCAUAAUGGCCUCUUGUUUAGACUGUUAAAUUUACUCUUACUAUAUUGAAGCAACAUCUUGAAAUUAG
Molecule: long non-coding RNA, 1938 nt
Filed under: Vitis vinifera (wine grape)
Lineage: Eukaryota; Viridiplantae; Streptophyta; Magnoliopsida; Vitales; Vitaceae
Description: long non-coding RNA (VVIN_LNC006679)
Source: RNAcentral